UAGAUCAUUUAGUAGCAGUGUAGCACAAGGAGGAUCAAUAAUUGGGCAUUCAAAUCUUUAGUAAUUAGUAUCCUCAAUAAUGUCGACAUUUCUGAAUCACGUUUCUUCAUUAUUAAUAAUAAGAUGAGGUUAGUUAAACACUUGAUGAGCAGGUUAUAAAUAGGCAAGCUUUGGUAUGAAUGGAAUGCACCAAAUAAGGAAAAGUUCUCCCCUCUACAAAAUAAAAACCUACCAAAAAAAAAUGGUGAAAUUUAUAGUAAUUGCUAUUCUCGUCCUCUUUGCUUCAGCGAUAGCAAGUUCGCGAGCAGGAAGCAAGACCCUUGAAAUGGUGACCUCAGAUGGACAUAGGGAAGGAAAGCAAGAGAUGAUGGUAGAUGCUAAGUUACCAACCAUAAUUAAGGAAGAAAUUUUGGUGAUUGAAAGGCCGAAUGAAAAUGGAGCACUCAAAUGUGCCGCUGUGUUGGAAGAUUGCUUCAGAACUCCUUGCUGCCCGCCUCAUUACUGUCAAAUUUACCAACGAGCUAUUUGUAUUUAAAAAUUUACUCUUAGUUAUGGUUGGUAAACACGGAGUAUGUGUAUGCCUCUCAAGUCUCAACCAUAUGAAAUUUUUAAGUACUACUUGAAAUAAAAGGAUAUUUUAUCUUUUA
Chenopodium quinoa (quinoa) is the source of this 647-nucleotide long non-coding RNA. RefSeq lists it as uncharacterized. NCBI's taxonomy places the organism in Eukaryota, Viridiplantae, Streptophyta, Magnoliopsida, Caryophyllales, Amaranthaceae. The transcript has 2 exons. The record is from RefSeq and is a predicted model, not a curated record.